GAUCAUGAUUCACUGUAGCCUUGGACCUCCUGGGCUCACACAAUCCUCCCAGCUCAGCCCACUGAGUAGCUAGGACUACAGAGUGCUUGGAAGAAAA
This is a long non-coding RNA of Cebus imitator (Panamanian white-faced capuchin), 97 nucleotides long. RefSeq lists it as uncharacterized. The transcript has 3 exons. NCBI's taxonomy places the organism in Eukaryota, Metazoa, Chordata, Mammalia, Primates, Cebidae. The record is from RefSeq and is a predicted model, not a curated record.